This 253-nucleotide ribosomal RNA is filed under the name uncultured bacterium. RNAcentral describes it as "partial 16S ribosomal RNA". It matches the Rfam family "Bacterial small subunit ribosomal RNA", at positions 524 to 776 of the family's 1533-position model. The record is from RNAcentral.
UACGAGGGGGGCGAGCGUUGUUCGGAAUUACUGGGCGUAAAGGGCGCGCAGGCGGCCUUUCAAGUCAGGCGUGAAAGCCCCGGGCUUAACCUGGGAAUUGCGCUUGGGACUGUGAGGCUUGAGUUCGGGAGAGGAGAGUGGAAUUCCCAGUGUAGAGGUGAAAUUCGUAGAUAUUGGGAAGAACACCGGUGGCGAAGGCGGCUCUCUGGACCGAUACUGACGCUGAGGCGCGAAAGCGUGGGGAGCAAACAGG